This 921-nucleotide long non-coding RNA is filed under the name Homo sapiens (human). RNAcentral describes it as "long non-coding RNA NONHSAT161845.1". The record is from RNAcentral. Lineage: Eukaryota; Metazoa; Chordata; Mammalia; Primates; Hominidae.
CUCAAAAAACAAACAAACAAAAACAAACAAAAAAAGAACAAUCAGAGUUGGCAGCUCAGAAAGAGUUAAAGAGAUUCUUUAAUCUCCAGCUCAGCUUCAACAAUUCAACGCUGUUCUUUCUGAAAAAGUACACAUCGUGCCUUCUCUACUUCGCUCUUGGAACAUAAUUUCUCAUGGCAGUGUUUAAGACCACUCUGUGGAGGUUAAUUUCUGGGACCUUAGGGAUAAUAUGCCUUUCGUUGAUGUCUACGUUGGGAAUUUUGUUGAAAAAUUCUUUUACUAAACUGAGUAUUGAGCCAGCAUUUACUCCAGGACCCAACAUAGAACUCCAGAAAGACUCUGACUGCUGUUCUUGCCAAGAAAAAUGGGUUGGGUACCGGUGCAACUGUUACUUCAUUUCCAGUGAACAGAAAACUUGGAACGAAAGUCGGCAUCUCUGUGCUUCUCAGAAAUCCAGCCUGCUUCAGCUUCAAAACACAGAUGAACUGGAUUUUAUGAGCUCCAGUCAACAAUUUUACUGGAUUGGACUCUCUUACAGUGAGGAGCACACCGCCUGGUUGUGGGAGAAUGGCUCUGCACUCUCCCAGUAUCUAUUUCCAUCAUUUGAAACUUUUAAUACAAAGAACUGCAUAGCGUAUAAUCCAAAUGGAAAUGCUUUAGAUGAAUCCUGUGAAGAUAAAAAUCGUUAUAUCUGUAAGCAACAGCUCAUUUAAAUGUUUCUUGGGGCAGAGAAGGUGGAGAGUAAAGACCCAACAUUACUAACAAUGAUACAGUUGCAUGUUAUAUUAUUACUAAUUGUCUACUUCUGGAGUCUAUAAAAUGUUUUUAAACAGUGUCAUAUACAAUUGUCAUGUAUGUGAAACAAUGUGUUUUAAAAUUGAUGAAAUUCGUUCACCUACAUUUGAGAAUUAUAAAAUUAAC